This 441-nucleotide ribosomal RNA is filed under the name uncultured bacterium. RNAcentral's name for it is "partial 16S ribosomal RNA". It matches the Rfam family "Bacterial small subunit ribosomal RNA", at positions 354 to 792 of the family's 1533-position model. The record is from RNAcentral.
GUGAGGAAUAUUGGUCAAUGGGCGGGAGCCUGAACCAGCCAAGUCGCGUGAAGGAAGAAGGAUCUAUGGUUCGUAAACUUCUUUUGCAGGGGAAUAAAGUGCAGGACGUGUCCUGUUUUGUAUGUACCCUGAGAAUAAGGAUCGGCUAACUCCGUGCCAGCAGCCGCGGUAAUACGGAGGAUCCGAGCGUUAUCCGGAUUUAUUGGGUUUAAAGGGUGCGUAGGUGGUUUGAUAAGUCAGCGGUGAAAGUUUGCAGCUUAACUGUAAAAAUGCCGUUGAAACUGUCUGACUUGAGUGUAAAUGAGGUAGGCGGAAUGCGUGGUGUAGCGGUGAAAUGCAUAGAUAUCACGCAGAACUCCGAUUGCGAAGGCAGCUUACUAAGCUACAACUGACACUGAAGCACGAAAGCGUGGGGAUCAAACAGGAUUAGAUACCCCUGUA